CGUAACACUAAUGAUAUCCACUUAUAUCACUAAGAAUAAAAGUUAAGAGUUUGGCCGAAGCUCACUCCCUUGGUCCCAUCCUUCUUCAAGCAAGCUAUUGCUCCAGUAUCAACUUGAGAAUGGAAUUCCAGCUCUAAUACCAACUGAUGUAAGGUAUUUUUAUCAUUUUAUCCAAAACAUAAAGCUUAUGGAAAUAAUUAAUAUAUCAUAUAUUACCCAAAAUCAAGCUCGUGAAUCCACUCCGAUUCAAGAAUGCUUUUUGAUGUGAAACAGUUAGAAGAGAAAUCACAAAUCAGAUGGAAAAGAGGAAAAAUAGAAUAGAUAUACGAAAACGUGAAUAACUUUUAGUUUGGGUGUCAGAUUUUCAUGAGCAAGCUCAAUCCUAGUUUUCAAUUCUGUACAAAUUUUUUGUAUGACAAGGUUUUGGGGUCAAAUUCCAUUGUUUAGUGGUACGUUUUAGCAUUUUUCUGUUUUGAGUCAAUUUAAGGGCUUUUUCAUCAAUUUUGCAAUUUUUUAUAAUCUUAUUCACAUUUGUCGAUUGAGUUAAGAUUUUGAUUUAAUCAGGAAUUGUUUUGACUCUUUAAAUAUGUGUUAAGGGUUUGAAAACUCUACAUACGGUUUUUAUUAAUAAUAAUUUAAUAUUUCUUUAGUUGGUGGAUUUCAAUAUUUCUCAAGUCUAUUUGAACGAAAUUCGAGCAACGCAAGUUCGUGUGCUAUAGACAAGGACUUUUUGUUUGCAUUAAGUUCAUUGCUAGGGCCUAAAAGCACAUUACUGUGGAGGAAUGAUUUAACGUAAUCUAUAAAUCAAAGCAAUGGAGGGUACUAACCCAUGAGCCAACAAAGAAAUUGAUGAUGGUGGUGGACGACAAAUGACAUACACAACCUUCUAUCUUCAACGGGUCAGCACAACCAACGAGAUUCAAUACUUAUCUCGUACAGUGAUCUAAUUUGAAAGAUGAUCUCUACCAAGUUUAAGAUCUGAACCUAUUGUAAAAGCCACCUCACAUCAAAGGAACCCAUGUAAGAUCAAAUCAGCUAAAGUACUAUAUAUAUGAUCAUGACUAUGGGCAUAACACACUUAAGAAUGAAGUAGAGCAGCUAAUUUAAAUGGAGAAUCUAACAUAACAUAAUCCAUUAUGAGCUAAUCUCCUCCAGUUCUACCUAUUAAAACGAAGGCCGAGCAAUCCACCACAAUGUCGAGGAAAACCAUUUCGAUAGUACAAAAAAUAUAAUUUGAAACAUCAAUAUAAUUUAUGGUGGGCCUUAUGGUAGUUGUGACAUGUAAAAUGAUGGUCGUGACUCUAAAAGAUAUGGAGAACAUAAUGAAUCCAUGUAGUCUUGAUAUUUUCUUUUAGAGGUGUUAAAAUGGAAUAUACUUUUGACCAUUGUUUUUGGCAGGGUAACGUAGUCAAGAGAUCUUGGUUCCACUCAAAUUCAUGCCUAAGGCUCCUGCAUAUUUGGAAAAAAAAUUUGAAGUACAUGUCCUUUUUCGAUGUAGGAAAAGCGAUCGCAAGCACUUUGGUCAGUCAACUUAUAUAUUUGGGUGUAAGAAAAACACAAGAUGUGAGCUAAAAAUAUACAUACUAGUGCCGGGAGAGAUGAAAUAAUAACAAUAGACAAUAUUACUAUUAAGAGUGUAAAAUUGCAUUAUCUUUAAAUGAAAAGAAGGUUGACAAGUUGGUUGAGAGGUGUCUACUGUAGAGAAGUCACAUCAAGCAAUCACAUAGGACCUUAUAUAGAAGACCUUUUAGAAAAGGUAGUCACAUAAGAUCUUUUAUGGAAGAUCUUGUAGAAGAUGCGAAUCUAUGGAGAUGCCUUUGUAGAAUUAAAAGCUCUUUACUUCGAUAAUAAAUUACAAUAGAUCAUGGCAUCUAACUUGAUUUGACCUCUGCAUGGUGCCUCGAGGAAGGUGAUGCAUCAUUUCAACUUCCUAUUUUGUUAGCUUAGAUUGGUUUAGGUAAGCGAGUGAUAUAGAGUGUUGGCCUAAGGUGAGUUGUUUACUAACGCCACGUGACUAAUGAUUAGAACCUCAUAGGAUGAAACAUAUCAAUAGUCCCCAAGUUCAGAUAUGAAUAUUCAUAUAAGGCAUAAUUUUUGGUAAGAAGGUGAAAUAUAUUAUGAUGGGGGGAUAACAAAUUGCCUCUAAUAUUUAACUUAGCUGUACUGAUGAUGUGAUUACGGUUGGAGAAGUAAUGAUGUUCCAAUUUGCUAUCUUUACCAAGGCAUUAGACCAUAUUACAGUGGUCCCCGUUUUGUGGUGACAUUGAGCGAAGUAAAUAGUUUAGUUUUGACGAUGUACAACAAGUUAGUCUCCUAAGUUUAAAUAUAGAUACUCUUAUAAUGCAUGGACUUUCAUUACCGAUGAGGUUUAUGUACUACGGCAAUAAGUGGAGAUUUGAACCCUAAACUAGUGAAGGCAAGUUUGGGUGAGGUCCCAAUACAAGGGUGGGAAAUAGUUGAGAGGUUGGAGUUUCUGUAUUUAGGGAUGAAGCCAUUGAUAGCAUAAAAGAUGUUUAUGUAGAGGUGAAGUCUCUUUCAUUAAGGGUCUCUAAGGGUUAAGUUGAAGACAUGUUGCAGAGGCGAAGUUCUACAUUGUUGGGUUGAUGCCUCUGAAGAUAGAUGUAAUAGAAAUACAAAGGCGAAGUCCUAUAUUUUAGGGACAGGGCCUUUGAUAGUAGAAUCAUAUUGAUGCAAGCGUAGUCUCAUGUUUCAAGGAUAAGGCAUCUAAAAUUAGGUGAAACACUGUAGCAGAGGGAAGCUGUAGCCUCUGAAGUGAAAAGAUAUUGAUGUUAUGCAUGCUAAUAAUUUGAAAGAUCACAUGUUUUCAAGAAGAGUCAGCUGGGUGUUGCAUUUUUCCAAUGCACACAUAGUUGAAACAUUUGAUGCAUAAUGAUGGGUCGUUUUAUGAACUCCGAGAUAACGUGCCAAUACUUAGUGCAUAUGAUGCACGAUUUCAUCCCGGCCUUUGAUUCAUUAGUCAUUUCGUUUCUACGGUUUGGAUAAAGUUCACAAAUAGACAUCUCAGACUUGUCGUAAUUAGAUCCAAUUGCUAAGGUGAGUUAAAUCUGCCCAUAAAAGGUCCCCUUUUUUCUUUCUUCAAAUAUUCACUUUUGUUAGAACUCCAAAAACCUCAUCCUUAAACCUUGUUGAAAAAUCUCUGGCCACUAACUAUUAUUCUAGCAAGCAUCUUUAUUUUUUUAUUUUUGUCCAAGUCCCAUAAAUCAUUAUCAUUUACUCAUUUAUCUUAUCUCUUUGUUUUUACUGAAACCUUAGUUUUUUUUAUUUUUUGAAAAUUGGCUUUUGAAUCUUGUCGUGGUUCUAGUAGUAGGGGUAAACCUCGAAAUGAUAGCAUCCGAGGUGAGGAUCUCAAACUUUUCUAAAAUAGAGGAUCGGUCAUGUAGAUUGGGUUAGGAAAAGGCAUAUGGGUGAGUACGAGGGCUUCUUUUGUACAUCACAUCACCUUUAAAGGUGAAGUGUGCUACUCUCCACCUAAGCCUAUGUGCUUACCUUUGUUGUCAAGAACAAUAUGAUCUUUGAGGAAGGCUAUAAUUGGUUUCAUCCAUGAUGGUCUGUCUUCUAUCCACGUCACUGUAGGACCUCCAUCGAUGGAUUGCCUUGGAAGAUGCUCAUGGGCAUUAUCUUGAGUAGCUCUGAAACUUUGCCAUUGGCCAAUUUAGAUGGUAUAUCGACAUAGGCAUUUUCAAGGCACGAGAUUUGCGCCAACUUAAAAAAAGUGAGUGAAAAUCUAUAACAUGUUUGAACCAAUUUUCCUAGAACAGUUAUAAAUGAUGUUGGGCUCAAUAGUUAGUUACUUUUUCCCCUUUUAGGGAAAAUUAGAUAUCACACCUCUUCAAAAAAUAAUAUUCAUUUUAUACAUUUCCGAAAAAAUAAUAUUCAUUUUAUACAUUUCCGAA
RNAcentral lists this long non-coding RNA (3914 nucleotides) under Olea europaea (common olive). Its description in RNAcentral is "long non-coding RNA (OEUR_LNC004875)". Lineage: Eukaryota; Viridiplantae; Streptophyta; Magnoliopsida; Lamiales; Oleaceae. The record is from RNAcentral.